AUGGAUUAUCAUCCUUAAGAGAGUUACAUAGCCAGUCAAACAGGAUCACCUCUGUAGAAAGAGGAUCUCUGGAUGGAUUAUCAUCCUUACAAAAGUUAUAUCUCGGUUAUAACAUGAUCACUUCUAUAGAAAAAGG
Long non-coding RNA from Mytilus californianus (California mussel), 136 nucleotides. RefSeq lists it as uncharacterized. The record is from RefSeq and is a predicted model, not a curated record. NCBI's taxonomy places the organism in Eukaryota, Metazoa, Mollusca, Bivalvia, Mytilida, Mytilidae. The transcript is spliced from 3 exons.